GUAAAGUUACUGUGCAAUUGCUUUUCCCCCCUUUCUGCAUGUAUCACAGCAAUGCCACUAGUCAAGGGGACUCACUUUCCCCAAGGCAGAGACACAGGUAGGCUUGGCCAAAACAAAUGACAUUUGCUUUUCACCCAUUCUGUUAUUCUAGGCUACAGUUCUCCCUCAGUUUAAAUCCAGUUUCUCCACCUCAAGCAAUGCAGCAGGAAAUGUCAAUAAGUUGCUUGAAAGACUAUUACUGCUUCCUUUUACUACUAAUUGGCACAUGUAAGAAAUACAACAGGCAGCAGUUUAACUCAAAAUUGACAGAACACCACAAAUAUAUGUAUUCAAUUAGUAUUUAUUCAGUGAGAAAUUUCUAACAGGUCAAAGUGAUUAUCAGAUCUGAUAAUUCUUGCAGUGGUUGGAGCCCUGGGCCCUUUAAAUCACUGCCCUAGCCUGGCUGCCGGAGCCCCAGGGUAGUGGCGGCAGGGCUCCGUUGGCGAUUUAAAGAGCCCGGAGCUCCUCUGCGGUAGCGGCGGCCAGAGCCCCAGAACCCUUUAAAUCGCGUCUGAGCCCUGGGGCUCCCAGCCGCCUCUGCAGCUGGUAGCUCUGGGGGUGAUUUAAAGACCCCGCCUCUUCCGGUUGAGGCCACACCCUUGCUCAGGACUCCGGCGUACCGGUAAGUCCUUUAACUUACUUUCAGCCCUGGUGUAAGUGCUCCUGGUGAAGAUGUGUACCACCGACAGAAGGUGGGUAGUGUGAACAUGAAAAACUGCAGUAAUUGCUGCAGUGGCUGUAAGUUGGCCUAACAUAGGUCGAUUUUAUGUCUACAAUACACAAUUGCCUUAGUGUUCCAACUUGGAAAGUCAAUAUUAACAUACCUUGGUCGUGUCAGAAUCUUCAGUUUUCUUCUAAGUUCUUGAUUCUCGGACCGCAACUGCCGCACCAUCUCCUCGGAGUCCCUCAGCCGCUCCCGCAGCGCCUCCCCGGCCUCCUCCAGCUCCUCAUCCUCCUCGAAGCGGAUAUGAAGCGGCUGCGUCGUCGGGGCGGCCGCCUCGUCACCGUCCAGCUGCUCGAAGAGCUCGCGAUCCCCGAAGUCCACCUCAGCCGCCAUCUUAGGCUGCGGCAGGAAGCGGG
RNAcentral lists this long non-coding RNA (1119 nucleotides) under Terrapene triunguis (Three-toed box turtle). Its description in RNAcentral is "Terrapene carolina triunguis (Three-toed box turtle) lncRNA (ENSTMTG00000016367.1)". The record is from RNAcentral. Lineage: Eukaryota; Metazoa; Chordata; Testudines; Emydidae.